Camellia sinensis is the source of this 661-nucleotide non-coding RNA. NCBI's taxonomy places the organism in Eukaryota, Viridiplantae, Streptophyta, Magnoliopsida, Ericales, Theaceae. The record is from RefSeq and is a predicted model, not a curated record.
CUUGUUGAAUAGGGCUUUUCCACUUCAAUAUUGAUCCACUUUUUGGUGACAUUCAUAUAUAGUGUUGCUUUCAAUAUAUUUGGGGAACACUUUAGUUCAUGACUUGAUGAACAGUAAUAAUGUAUAUGUAGCCUUUGUAAGGGUUAUUAUACUUUAAAGUUAAUUUUGGUUAAAUAGAAUAACAUUUGAUGGUUGCCUUUGGGUAGGUCUGAUGGCAAAGAAGUGAUGGUUGAUAAUAAAUUUCUCAAGGCUCACAAUCCCCUUCUGUUGAUCAACUUCUAUGAGCAACAUCUGCGCUACAGUGCUACGCCAUGAGUAGACAGUUAUGGACGAGAAUGUGGAUGCUGGACCAUGUCAUCUUUGCUUUUGUGAUAUACAGUUGUAAUUUGUACCUGGAUGCUAUAGUACAGGUUAAGCCAAUGCAGUCGUAGGUUAGGCAAUGCAGUAGUGAACUGUGUUAGAUAGCAUGAUGCUGACUUGUAUAGCAGCAAUUACCUUGUUUUAUGUCUUUUCCUUCCUCUUUUGAAUGGGUAUGAACAUCUUGUUUAUCCACCUACCUUUUUAUAUGGUUUUGUACAUGGAGAUCAUGACUGUAACAUGUAGAUGAUGAUAAAACAUUUGUUUCACGCCCUUAAUAUUCAUAUUUAACUUUUUUUUCUUC